CAGAGUUGCAAAACUCCCACAAACCAUCGCGAAUCUUACCCGUACGGUUGCCUCGGCGCCGGCGGUCCGGAAGGCCCUCGGGCCCCCCGGAUCCUCGGGUCUCCCGCUCGCGGGAGGCUGCCCGCCGGAGUGCCGAAACCAAACUCUUGAUAUUUUAUGUCUCUCUGAGUAAACUUUUAAAUAAGUCA
RNAcentral lists this unclassified non-coding RNA (188 nucleotides) under soil metagenome. RNAcentral's name for it is "partial internal transcribed spacer 1". The record is from RNAcentral.